Molecule: ribosomal RNA, 972 nt
Filed under: Triticum aestivum (bread wheat)
Lineage: Eukaryota; Viridiplantae; Streptophyta; Magnoliopsida; Poales; Poaceae
Description: partial small subunit ribosomal RNA
Source: RNAcentral
AUGGCUCUCGCCCACCAGAUCACCAACCAGCCGCUCCUCUCCUCCCCGCCGUGCCUCGCAAGAACCAACGGUAGCAAUGCGCGGACGGCGAGGACGGCGUUUCUUGGCCACAGCUGCUGCCUGAAGCUUCGGGAUACAGCGACGAGAUGCGUCGUCGCUUCGUCAGCGCAGGCGGAGCCCAAGUCCGGAGGUGGGGACGGGGAUGGAGGCCAGGAGCCGUACGAGGAGUACGAAGUGGAGAUCCUGAAGCCGUACGGGCUCAAGUUCGCCAAGGGCCGCGACGGCGGCACCUACAUCGAGGCCAUCUUCCCCGGCUCCUCCGCCGAGCAGACCGGCAAGUUCACCGUCGGCGACAAGGUUAUUGCCACCAGCGCCGUCUUUGGAGAGGAAAUCUGGCCGGCGGCAGGGUACGGCCAGACCAUGUACUGCAUCCGCCAGAGAGUUGGCCCUCUCUACAUGAAGAUGCAGAAGAAAUUUGGGAAAUGGGAUGGUGCUGCUGAGCUCUCUGACAAGGAGGUCAUCAGGGCUGAAAGGAACACCGGAAAUGUCAGCACUAAACUCAGAGAGAUUCAGAUGCAAAAUUACCAGAAGAAGAUGGAGCAGAAGAUCCAAAGAGAAGAUGACCUUCGCAUGGGGCUAAAGUUGUACAAGGAUGAAAAAUACGAGGAGGCGUUGGAGAAGUUUGAGUCGGUGCUGGGGUCAAAACCAGAGAUUGAUGAAGCUUCCGUAGCCAGCUACAAUGUCGCGUGCUGUUAUUCGAAGCUCGACCGGAUACAAGCUGGCCUUUCUGCACUUGAAGAAGCGAUGAAAGCAGGCUAUGAAGACUUCAAGAGGAUUCGCACCGACCCGGAUUUAGCAAACUUGAGGAACUCGGAGGAGUUCGCCACCCUACUAAACAAGUACGAUGAAUCAUUUAUCAACGAGAGCGCCAUCAAUGCUAUCAAAUCCAUAUUUGGAUUCGGUAAGAAGUGA